Molecule: ribosomal RNA, 253 nt
Filed under: uncultured bacterium
Lineage: Bacteria
Description: partial 16S ribosomal RNA
Rfam family: Bacterial small subunit ribosomal RNA
Source: RNAcentral
UACAGAGGUGGCAAGCGUUGUUCGGAAUUACUGGGCGUAAAGGGCGUGUAGGCGGCUUGGUCAGUCCCGUGUGAAAUCCCUCGGCUCAACUGAGGAACUGCACGGGAAACUGCCUGGCUUGAGUUCGGGAGAGGGAAGCGGAAUUCCGGGUGUAGCGGUGAAAUGCGUAGAUAUCCGGAGGAACACCGGUGGCGAAGGCGGCUUCCUGGACCGACACUGACGCUGAGGCGCGAAAGCUAGGGGAGCAAACGGG